GUUCUGAGGUAACCAUAGUUUUCAGCAAAAAUUAGAAGGAUUUAUAACUAUGGUCCUUUUCUAAAUGCUACAAAUAUGAUAUACAGAAACACAUAUAACACUGAAACAGCAUACCACUUAAUUCCACCAGUUGUAGCUAUUGCAAUUUUCAAAUUUUGAACAGUAAAUACAGGAACUCCCUCAAGCCUUCUUCUAUGUUCUGUGGGAUCAUCUUAAGAAGCUUUUUCGCUGCUUCGACCUGAAAAAAGAAGCAAAUCAUUCCAUAUAAAUGGAACCAUAUAACAAGAGAAGCUCUGUUUCUUACCUGUUUUCUGCUUGGAACAAAUUGAAACAUGUGAGGCCUUUCCUGCAUAACAAAUGGUAAACAAUGUUGCAACUAGACCAAGGAAAAUGAUCAUAUAGUGAUAGUCAACGCAAAUGAGUACAUAAAGAUGAUGCAAGUAGAUAUGUCAUGUAAUUAGCAAUUUGGCAACUGAAAUAAAAUUGUUUAUGGAACACAAAGUUUCAUUUUCUAAAAGACUCUAAUUGUCCAAAAGAAAAUAAAUAGUCCUGCAAGUCUGCACCGUUCAAAUGCUGACUGAUAUUGCAGUAAAAUUAUAAAACAUAUGCAGCUUUGUUAGAUAAUAUGUACUACAGGGAAGGUGGAAGAGAGUCAAUCAUUUGCACAAAACGUAUUCAACUCAAAAUUAUAGAGUCAUACUAAACCCCCUUGAGUUGUGGAUACCUUAUGGUUAGUUUACAAUAUUCUAGGAAAUGUGACAUCAAUUUGUUAUUUAUGGCUAAACCAAGAAAUCUCGCAUCAAAACCUUUUUCACAAGUCUCAUGAUCUUGCUAUUUAAACUAUAGAACACAGAUAGAUGUAGAUAUAGACAACCUACAAUAAUUGGAUCAUUCGGAAAAACUGGAGUACCCAACUCAGAUGCUUGGAUAUUUAUCCGCUACAUAGAGACUUGGAAUUCUAAUUCAAAUGGGGCUUUGAACUCCUGACAUAGUUUUGUUGAACCAUUGUUUCUUUUUUCUUUUCUUUUCUUUUCUUUCCUUUUUCUUCUUCUUCUUCUUCUUCUUUUUUGACAAGAUUGCUCACUCCAUUCAGAAACUGUAUCUGUUAAUGAGGCACCUUAUACGAUUUUUUAAUGUACUUAGAUGAUGCAUGGUUUGUUUUAAGAUUAAAAUAUGUAAGUGGUUGUUUUAAGUUAUCAAAUUUGAAGAAAAAAGUCAAACUUGUGUACUAGUUGCUAUUUUCUAAUGUAAUGGAUUAAGGGAGCUGUUUUUUUUAUCCUCUAUGAAUUUUCCUUUUUUGAAUUUUAAGCAUGAAUUCUUGCAAAAAUUGCAUGAACCUACAGUUGCCGUCUCCUUUAAAAUUUCGGUGCACCCACGAAUGAUAUAGGGCAAGGUGUUCCGUAUCCGUUAUGAUAUGCCCGUUAAUGCCAAUGUGUAUAGAUAACGGCCAUGACUGUUAUGUGAUAAGGGGGUGAAAUGGGGCAGUUGGUUUUUUGGGACCAUAUCAGCCGUUACGGUGGCCGUAAAGGCCGUUACGGGGCAUAAUGAUCGUUACCCCCAUAACGGUCGAAAAACAACAACUUUUUUCUAUUUAAAUCUAUUUCUCUCAGCUUUUUCACUUUUCUCGUUCCAAAAAGUUUCGUAGAUCAUUUUACAACAGAUUUCGACCACUCUUACUAAAGUUUUUAAGAUUAAAACUAUAAAUUAAAGUGAUUUGAUCGAAUAGAUCUUGAAAAAAAAUAUGAAAAAGUAGUAUUUAUGCCUUUUUUAUUUCUAGUUGUAAUGCUUGAUUGUAAUGUGUAAACAUUAGAUACAUAUAAUCAUGUUCAAAACAAAAAAUGAAUACAUAUAUAGAAUAUUUACAUUGUUCUAGAUUUUCUACAUAUUUUUUCAUAAAAUUUUGGUCAAAAGAACAUUUUCAACCAUUACGGGAGUCAUAACGGUCGUUACGCCCCUGUAUCGGCUGUUAGGGCCGAUACCCAUAUCGGUAAUGGUGGUGACUGUUACAGCCACCGUUGCCGAUACAGAAUACCUUGAUCUAGGGUCACCUACUAAGUGUUUUAUGUGUGCAAAUGGUACAUUUUAUUGCAAAUAUUACCUUUUUUUUUUCUCUAUUACUCAGCCUGUGUACAUCUUGUGCAUGACCUUGCCUAUGAUUGAUAAUUGCAGUUCUUAUCUUGGUUUCUCAUUGAAUGUUUUAUUUAUUUGGGAAUCAUUUCGCAAAGAAUCAUGGAUUAGAUCUACACAAGGUUGUAUUCAAACAGGCUAUUGAUGUAGGUCUCAAAGUCCAGUUCUGUAAAAGUGGAGAAGCUUAUGAAUGUUGAACGAUACUCCUAUGUGAUGCACAUUAGCUCGAUUGUGAGGUCUUUUGCUUUCAGUCAUAAAUGGAUGGAAAAUAGAACUUUGACAAAGUUCCAAAGUCUUUCAUCUUACUUCCAUGUUAUGUAUUAGCCACUUGAAAUUCUUGAUACAUAUUGGCUAAUAUGAUAUGAAUUUGUCAAUAAACCUCUACCAAAAUAAAGGGGUUUGGAUCUUCCAAUCUGAUGGAGAUUUGUAGGGCAUCCUCCAUCUACAGUUCCGGCUCCAAUCCUUUUAUUUUAGAUUACAUCUUCUCUAUGAUUCUGGAAAGUUGCAUUCCCAUAGCUUUUAUCAUGACAAUGAACCUUGAGUGAGCAAACAAGCUCCAAUUCAAAUACCUUAUUAUAUGUCAUUGAAGCUUUUGACACUGGAUGUGUACUGUUUGGUAGCUAUUGGCUCAAAACCUGGUAGAAAAUUCAAGUCUUUUUUUUUUUUUUUGUGCAAGCUAUGGGGGACUUGUUGGAUCAUCUAACUAGCUGGGAUGUUGGAACAUAAUCUAUUGUUGCAGUUUAAUGUAGACCAGUGUAUUUUGGAAAAUUGCACCAGUCCUCUAUCUAGACCAGUGUAUUUGGAUGUAAGCUAUUGCAGAAUGCAAUUUGUUAUUGAUUGUGCUUAAAAGAUGAACUUCA
Molecule: long non-coding RNA, 2987 nt
Organism: Magnolia sinica
Lineage: Eukaryota; Viridiplantae; Streptophyta; Magnoliopsida; Magnoliales; Magnoliaceae
Exons: 2
Source: RefSeq, a predicted model, not a curated record